RNAcentral lists this unclassified non-coding RNA (1642 nucleotides) under uncultured fungus. RNAcentral's name for it is "sequence contains 18S rRNA gene, ITS1, 5.8S rRNA gene, ITS2, 28S rRNA gene". The stretch from base 615 to 1642 matches the Rfam family "Eukaryotic large subunit ribosomal RNA", at positions 1 to 961 of the family's 3401-position model. Lineage: Eukaryota; Fungi. The record is from RNAcentral.
GGAAGGAUCAUUACAAAUCAAAUAUUUAUACUAUGUUGCACGCCAUCCGAAGGAUGGAGGGCAAGAUAGUGUGUAUCGUACGGUGUGAGAGGGGAGUGCGCAUUGGGUUCGUGUGUCUAUCACACUAUCCAUUUCACGCACUCCUCGCUUCACCCUCACCUUACACCUAACCCUACCCUCGAUCCAUCGAAAUUACCUCACUAUACUUUCACCAAAUUAUCCUUUCACUAGUAACAACUUGUAACAAUGGAUCUCUAGGCUCUUGCAUCGAUGAAGAACGCAGCCAAACGCGAAAUGUGUUAUGACUUGCAAUCUUUGCGAAUCAUCCAAUCUUUGAACGCAACUUGCACCGGGUAAAUGUAUUUAACCGGUAUACUUAUUUGAGUAUAGGAAGAUGAUGUCACAGUAUUUUAUAUUGUGAAUGUGGGAUGUGCGCACACUGUGUGCUCUCCUUGAAUAUAUGAUUGCUUUGAUGUAUCACUGGAGCUACACCAUUACUUGGGAUAAUGUCCCAUCAAGUGGAGGUGUGUGCAAGUGGGAUAGUCACGUUGCGAUCAAAGCGAGGUAUGGGGGAGAUGCAUCCUUCUCCCCCUUCCUCACCAUACAACACAUACCGGUCUCAAAUUAAGUAAGAUUACCCGCUGAACUUAAGCAUAUCAGUAAGCGGAGGAAAAGAAACUAACAAGGAUUCCCUCAGUAACGGCGAGUGAAGCGGGAAGAGCUCAAAUUUUGAAUCUGGCGCCGGGCGUCCGGGGUCCGAGUUGUGAAUGAGAGGGCGGAGCAUGAGCGGGCAGGGGCGGCGUCCGAGUCCCCUGGAACGGGGCACCGCAGAGGGUGACAGUCCCGUGGGACGCCGGCCUGGCCGCUGGGCCAUGCUCGCCCGACGAGUCGGAUAGUUUGGGAAUGCUGUCCUAAGUGGGUGAUACAUGUCAUCUAAAGCUAAAUAUGGGCAAGAGACCGAUAGCAAACAAGUACCGUGAGGGAAAGAUGAAAAGGACUUUGAAAAGAGAGUCAAAAGUACGUGAAAUUGUUACAAGGGAAACGAAUCCCUGUGCCGUUGUAGGAUGCGUGAGGGUCAGUGCCUGGUAGAUAAUACCGCGUACGCACCCCCCACUCAACCGUGUGCAUCCGUUUGCAUGCCGGGCAAGAAGCCGUCCCAGAAGGUGGCCUCGCUUGUAGGCUUUAUAGAUGGGACAGAGCGCACCCGUGUACGCAAGCGUUGACGAUUGUCAAGCGAGCGAGUGAGAGGCGUAGGGUUGAGGGCGACCCUAGCCCUACGCCCUCCCCUCACCGCGUGCACAUUGCAGAGGGAUCCGACCCGUCUUGAAACACGGACCAAGGAGUGCAGUUAGGAUGCGAGUCCAUGCGUGAUAGAAACGUAUUGGCGCAACGAAAGUGAACACAUAGGGUAGGACGCUGUGAUACUUCAUCACAGCUGCACUAUCGCCCGGUAUACGGUUUCACCGCGUAUUGAGGGAGAGCAUCCUGGUUGCGACCCGAAAGAUGGUGAACUAUGCCUGACUAGGGUGAAGCCAGAGGAAACUCUGGUGGAGGCUCGUAGACAUUCUGACGUGCAAAUCGAUGUUCCAAGUUGGGUAUAGGGGCGAAAGACUAAUCGAACCAUCUAGUAGCUGGUUCCCUC